UUAACCACUUCGGUGAAACCUGAAACCGGCGAUCUGGGGGAUGGUGCUGACAGAACUAGAACCUGUCGGGGAGAAUCGGGAAUCGAACUCACGAUCGUAGCUUAUUGUCUUGACCAGGGACGAUACUCUGCACAGCGAAUUAGGGUGCCUUGGAGUAAUGGGCCAUUCCUGCUUCGGCAAGAUUCUUUAUGGGAGGUGGCGAUGUCGGGAGAUAUCGGACAUGAUACAACCACCAGCACCGGACACGAAGGCCACGGGUACAUCUUCCCCACCAUCAAAGAAGAUCGCAAUCGAGACGGCAGAUAAUCAAGAUGCCGCUAAUGAACAGCGAAUCAAACUAACAUGUACUAACUCCGCGGUAAACGUCAUUAAUAUCAGUUUGCAACAGGUCCAGAAUAAAUGACUAAAAUGA
Molecule: long non-coding RNA, 412 nt
Organism: Haliotis rubra (blacklip abalone)
Lineage: Eukaryota; Metazoa; Mollusca; Gastropoda; Lepetellida; Haliotidae
Exons: 2
Source: RefSeq, a predicted model, not a curated record